AUCGCUAUAGCCAAAUGGUUAUGGCGACAGAUUAGGAUGUAGCAAUUUUCACUCAUCUGUUCCCCUUUGAGGGCGCAGAUUCAAAUCCGGCUGGUGUCG
Molecule: non-coding RNA, 99 nt
Organism: Tephrocybe rancida
Lineage: Eukaryota; Fungi; Basidiomycota; Agaricomycetes; Agaricales; Lyophyllaceae
Source: the annotation of a GenBank genome assembly